ACGGGUGAGUAACACGUGAGUAACCUGCCCUUAACUCUGGGAUAAGCCUGGGAAACUGGGUCUAAUACCGGAUAGGAGCGCCUACCGCAUGGUGGGUGUUGGAAAGAUUUAUCGGUUUUGGAUGGACUCGCGGCCUAUCAGCUUGUUGGUGAGGUAAUGGCUCACCAAGGCGACGACGGGUAGCCGGCCUGAGAGGGUGACCGGCCACACUGGGACUGAGACACGGCCCAGACUCCUACGGGAGGCAGCAGUGGGGAAUAUUGCACAAUGGGCGCAAGCCUGAUGCAGCGACGCCGCGUGAGGGAUGACGGCCUUCGGGUUGUAAACCUCUUUCAGUAGGGAAGAAGCGAAAGUGACGGUACCUGCAGAAGAAGCACCGGCUAACUACGUGCCAGCAGCCGCGGUAAUACGUAGGGUGCGAGCGUUAUCCGGAAUUAUUGGGCGUAAAGAGCUCGUAGGCGGUUUGUCGCGUCUGUCGUGAAAGUCCGGGGCUUAACCCCGGAUCUGCGGUGGGUACGGGCAGACUAGAGUGCAGUAGGGGAGACUGGAAUUCCUGGUGUAGCGGUGGAAUGCGCAGAUAUCAGGAGGAACACCGAUGGCGAAGGCAGGUCUCUGGGCUGUAACUGACGCUGAGGAGCGAAAGCAUGGGGAGCGAACAGGAUUAGAUACCCUGGUAGU
RNAcentral lists this ribosomal RNA (678 nucleotides) under Micrococcus luteus. RNAcentral describes it as "bacterial SSU rRNA". It matches the Rfam family "Bacterial small subunit ribosomal RNA", at positions 102 to 794 of the family's 1533-position model. The record is from RNAcentral. Lineage: Bacteria; Bacillati; Actinomycetota; Actinomycetes; Micrococcales; Micrococcaceae.